This 254-nucleotide ribosomal RNA is filed under the name uncultured bacterium. RNAcentral describes it as "partial 16S ribosomal RNA". It matches the Rfam family "Bacterial small subunit ribosomal RNA", at positions 524 to 776 of the family's 1533-position model. The record is from RNAcentral.
UACGUAGGGGGGCAAGCGUUGUCCGGAUUUAUUGGGCGUAAAGAGCGUGUAGGCGGCCACACAGGUCUGCUGUGAAAACUCGAGGCUCAACCUCGAGCUGUCGGUGGAAACCGUGUGGCUAGAGUCCGGAAGAGGAGAGUGGAAUUCCCGGUGUAGCGGUGAAAUGCGCAGAUAUCGGGAAGAACACCCGUGGCGAAGGCGGCUCUCUGGGACGGUACUGACGCUGAGACGCGAAAGCGUGGGGAGCGAACAGG